Molecule: ribosomal RNA, 465 nt
Filed under: Vreelandella stevensii
Lineage: Bacteria; Pseudomonadati; Pseudomonadota; Gammaproteobacteria; Oceanospirillales; Halomonadaceae
Description: partial 16S ribosomal RNA
Rfam family: Bacterial small subunit ribosomal RNA
Source: RNAcentral
CCUACGGGGGGCUGCAGUGGGGAAUAUUGGACAAUGGGGGCAACCCUGAUCCAGCCAUGCCGCGUGUGUGAAGAAGGCCCUCGGGUUGUAAAGCACUUUCAGUGAGGAAGAACGCCUGGUGGUUAAUACCCAUCAGGAAAGACAUCACUCACAGAAGAAGCACCGGCUAACUCCGUGCCAGCAGCCGCGGUAAUACGGAGGGUGCGAGCGUUAAUCGGAAUUACUGGGCGUAAAGCGCGCGUAGGUGGCUUGAUAAGCCGGUUGUGAAAGCCCCGGGCUCAACCUGGGAACGGCAUCCAGAACUGUCAAGCUAGAGUGCAGGAGAGGAAGGUAGAAUUCCCGGUGUAGCGGUGAAAUGCGUAGAGAUCGGGAGGAAUACCAGUGGCGAAGGCGGCCUUCUGGACUGACACUGACACUGAGGUGCGAAAGCGUGGGUAGCAAACAGGAUUAGAUACCCUAGUAGUC